UACGGAGGAUGCGAGCGUUAUCCGGAUUUAUUGGGUUUAAAGGGUGCGUAGGCUGGUAAUUAAGUCAGUGGUGAAAUACUCCGGCUCAACCGGGGGGCUGCCGUUGAUACUGGUUACCUUGAGUUUAGAUGAUGUGGGCGGAAUGUGUCAUGUAGCGGUGAAAUGCAUAGAGAUGACACAGAACACCGAUAGCGAAGGCAGCUCACAAAGCUAUUACUGACGCUGAUGCACGAAAGCGUGGGGAGCAAACAGGA
RNAcentral lists this ribosomal RNA (254 nucleotides) under uncultured prokaryote. RNAcentral's name for it is "partial 16S ribosomal RNA". It matches the Rfam family "Bacterial small subunit ribosomal RNA", at positions 524 to 777 of the family's 1533-position model. The record is from RNAcentral.